UGCCAUGUCAAGUCAUUAGACGGCCUGAGU
Molecule: non-coding RNA, 30 nt
Filed under: Mus musculus (house mouse)
Lineage: Eukaryota; Metazoa; Chordata; Mammalia; Rodentia; Muridae
Source: RNAcentral